RNAcentral lists this non-coding RNA (114 nucleotides) under Paenibacillus sp. Its description in RNAcentral is "TPP sequence". It matches the Rfam family "TPP riboswitch aptamer (THI element)". Rfam says of the family: Vitamin B(1) in its active form thiamin pyrophosphate (TPP) is an essential coenzyme that is synthesised by coupling of pyrimidine and thiazole moieties in bacteria. Lineage: Bacteria; Bacillati; Bacillota; Bacilli; Caryophanales; Paenibacillaceae. RNAcentral also lists the same sequence under 1 other name. The record is from RNAcentral.
AUUCGUUACUAGGGGGGCCCCGAGCGUGGGCUGAGAUGAGAUCGCGAUGAAGAUCUUACACCCUUUGCACCUGAUCUGGAUCAUACCAGCGUAGGGAAGUAAUCGGCACUUUCG